UUCUGAGAAUACAGGUGCUGUGGCACAAUCUUUGUACACUGUAUAUAUGUAUUACUCUCAUUGGUUAAUAAAGAGCUAACUAGUCUAUAGCUGGGCAGGAAGAAAUUGGCUGGGAGAGCCAGACUAGGAGAAAUCUAGGAAAAAGAAGGGCGGAGUCAGAAGAGUUGCCAGGAGAUGCAGAGGGAGCAAGACAUGCUGAAGGACAGGACAGAGAGAAAUCAAGUUUGAACUGAACUGGAAGUCUCAUCCCUGCUUUUAUCCUACCAUACCAUGCUAUGCAGGCUACUGGGGAGCAAACUCAGCGAUGAUCUCACCCAGAUGUAGACCCUGCAUGCUACAAUACUGAUCUGCCCUGCAAAAUGUGCUAACUGGUGCAAUAGAGCUAUCCUGGAAUGCAUGUGGCUGGGGGCUACUGGCUGGAUGAGCCUGAAGGGACCGGAAGAAGACCUUUGGGGAGUUUACCUACAUCAAGAAUCCCCAAGCCCCUGUUUUCCCAUUUUCUUUGCCUAGACCAGCUCUUCCCUUCCUCCAAAUGCUUGUCUUUGCCCCAAACUUCUCCAGUGAUUUUUCCCUCCCCAUUCUUCUUCCUCUUUGAGACCCAAAGAUCCUACUCAGAAAACAGAAAGAAAGGGAAGAAGGAGAUGGGGACUUAAGUACCACCUCCACCCGGAACCAACCUCCACUCCUGCCGCAGCCAGCAGCCAGCGGAUCGACUCCAUCCUGCCUCUGCCACAAAAGUAGUAGAGCUUGGGUUUGGCUUCCAUGACUCCUGGUUCAGAGCUCCCUAAAGGGCAGCAGUAAAAAAAUAGGUUUGAAAAGCAAA
Long non-coding RNA from Peromyscus maniculatus bairdii (prairie deer mouse), 823 nucleotides. RefSeq lists it as uncharacterized. NCBI's taxonomy places the organism in Eukaryota, Metazoa, Chordata, Mammalia, Rodentia, Cricetidae. The record is from RefSeq and is a predicted model, not a curated record.